GUGACAGUCCCGUACACGAAAACACACAGGUUGUGAACUCGAAGAGUAGGGCGGGACACGUGGUAUCCUGUCUGAAUAUGGGGGGACCAUCCUCCAAGGCUAAAUACUCCUGACUGACCGAUAGUGAACCAGUACCGUGAGGGAAAGGCGAAAAGAACCCCGGCGAGGGGAGUGAAAAAGAACCUGAAACCGUGUACGUACAAGCAGUGGGAGCACCCUCGUGGUGUGACUGCGUACCUUUU
RNAcentral lists this ribosomal RNA (242 nucleotides) under Leclercia sp. LK8. RNAcentral describes it as "partial 23S ribosomal RNA". It matches the Rfam family "Bacterial large subunit ribosomal RNA", at positions 364 to 609 of the family's 2925-position model. Lineage: Bacteria; Pseudomonadati; Pseudomonadota; Gammaproteobacteria; Enterobacterales; Enterobacteriaceae. The record is from RNAcentral.